Molecule: ribosomal RNA, 1039 nt
Filed under: uncultured bacterium
Lineage: Bacteria
Description: bacterial SSU rRNA
Rfam family: Bacterial small subunit ribosomal RNA
Source: RNAcentral
AGAGUUUGAUCCUGGCUCAGGACGAACGCUGGCGGUGCGCCUAAUGCAUGCAAGUCGAACGGGCGAAGGGGCUUCGGCCCCCUAGCUAGUGGCAGACGGCUGAGUAACACGUAAGUGAUAUGCCCCGGAGAGGGGGAUAAGCCGGAGAAAUCCGGUCUAAUACCCCGUACGCUCCCUUUACUACGGUAUAGGGAGGAAAGGUUCCGGCGCUCUGGGAGUAGCUUGCGGCCUAUCAGGUAGUUGGUGGGGUAACAGCCUACCAAGCCGAAGACGGGUAACCGGUGUGAGAGCACGAUCGGUCAGAGGGGGACUGAGACACGGCCCCCACUCCUACGGGAGGCAGCAGCAGGGAAUCUUGCGCAAUGGGCGAAAGCCUGACGCAGCGACACCGCGUGGGGGAUGAAGGCUUUCGAGUUGUAAACCCCUUUUCCCGGGGAUGAGAAAGGACAGUACCCGGGGAAUAAGGUUCGGCUAACUACGUGCCAGCAGCCGCGGUAAUACGUAGGAACCGAGCGUUGUCCGGAUUUACUGGGCGUAAAGUGCGCGUAGGCGGUCCGUUAAGUCUCAUGUGAAAUCUCCCGGCUCAACUGGGAGGGGUCAUGGGAUACUGGCAGACUGGAGUGCAGUAGAGGAAAGCAGAAUUCCCGGAGUAGUGGUGGAAUGCGUAGAUACCGGGAGGAACACCAGAGGCGAAGGCGGCUUUCUGGGCUGUAACUGACGCUGAGGCGCGAAAGCGUGGGUAGCAAACCGGAUUAGAUACCCGGGUAGUCCACGCCCUAAACGAUGGAUACUAGGCAUGGGAGGUAUCGACCCCCUCCGUGCCGUAGCUAACGCAAUAAGUAUCCCGCCUGAGGAGUACGGCCGCAAGGCUAAAACUCAAAGGAAUUGACGGGGACCCGCACAAGCAGCGGAUCGUGUGGUUUAAUUCGAUGAUAAGCGAAGAACCUUACCAGGGCUUGAAAUGCUUCUGACCGGCUGUGAAAGCAGCCUUUCCUUCGGGACAGUUGCACAGAUGUUGCAUGGCUGUCGUCAGCUCGUG